RNAcentral lists this long non-coding RNA (6308 nucleotides) under Taeniopygia guttata (zebra finch). Its description in RNAcentral is "lncRNA (ENSTGUG00000023294.1)". Lineage: Eukaryota; Metazoa; Chordata; Aves; Passeriformes; Estrildidae. The record is from RNAcentral.
AGAGUGCAAAGUACCAGGCACUGACAGUGGUUUCAGUUAUGAAAGGAUUUAAAUGUUUGCCAAAAAAAAACCCUAAAGAACAAUCCAAACUCUUUUCUAAAUAAACCUUUGUACUGUUAAAACCUUCUGAAUCAUGAUUUUGCUCAAGGGAUUAAGUCAAACAAAGCAAGGGGUUUUCUUUUUCCUUGGAGGGGUCUUUGCCUAUAGAUCUGGAUGGGAAAUAUUUUUCCUAUUUUCCCAUAGUUUUUGAUUAGUCAGUGAGACAAACCUGGGAAUCUUGCAUUUUUUAAUGAAAUAUGAAAAAGAAUAUAUAUACCCCAUGACCUCAUUUCCUCCUGCUGGAUCACCAGGCAGUAAAUUCCCACUCCAUCCUUCUCAGAUCAGUGACCUAAGGACCUUGCUGUCCUGGAGCAGAUAGUGAAAAAAAAAAAUCAUUCUGGUGAACUUGCCUAACGUUUUUUGAGAUAAAAUUUUUUAAAAAUCAAGUUUCCACUUCUAUGUGCCCAGGGGAACUUUUCCUUCCCUUUUUUUCAGUCUCCUUUCAAACGCUAAUCUCAGGGCUGAAUGCAUACUCCUCAUUCUCAGGCAGGCGGCUGAAGGCAUUCUGAUAUGCAGGUUUUCAGAUGAAGAGCAAUCACCCCACUACUAAAGUCUUUAAAUCCUUCAUAUUUACAGUCUUAGAUCAACUAAAUCCUUUAUAUUUAUUUUUUAAUGAGAAGCAUACAUUGCAGAUUGUCAGUGGUGUAUGUGAACAAAUCUCAAAAGGAGGUGCAGCUGUUCCAAACCUUUGGUGUUAAUGUUGCUUGCUUUCCCUUCUUGUGUUUGCUUUUCUAGUUUAUGAUUUUAGAGCAUUUCCUGGGAAGAGAGGCAGAAGAGGGGAGAAUAGUUUGAAAAGUUAUGAAUCAAACCAUAUUUCCCAUGGGUUUAUAAAAUGUCAUAAAGUGCAAUGAACAAAAUGAGAGAAAGGGACUGGUGUCUGUACAUUCACCACUGAGUGCAUACCAAGUGUAAGAGUGAGCUGAGCAUUUACAUCCUUUCUUCAUCUGUGCUGCUGCAAGGUGUAUAUUCUGUUUAUGCCGCAAAUACUGCUCCUUUCUAUGUUUAUCACUCCUUCCAUAGACAGCAGGAUUUGGCACCUGCCUCAAAUGCACCUUUCCAUAGCAAACAGUUCUUGGGAAAAGAGUGAAAUCUAAUCACAUAUAACAGACUUCUUUAAACAGCUGAAUUGAAUCUAUAUUAAGGAACCAUCAGAAACCCCCUUCCUUAGUCCCUCUGUUCUGUCUGAAAGGUGUCUGUAUCCUCUUCUUGUGAAUUCUGUGUGGCAUGAGGAAAAGGGAUAGAGCAGUCACUUUGUUUCAUUAGUUUUUCAUAGUAAGCAUUUGGUUCUCUUAACCCUGGAAAAGGAGACUGUUUGUGGCUGAGGUUCUGGUUGUUCCUUCAAUAGACUAAGUCAAAUUCAGGUGAGAGUUCUGCUGAAGUAGGGAUUAGAUUGAACCAAAGGCAUUAGAACUUUGCUGGAUUUCACUAAGUAAACUGAAAUAAUUUCAAAGUCCUAAAUCUGUAAUGUAUUGGAUGCUAUCUUGAAAUAAGGCUCAGAGUGUGAAAAGAUUUGAGCUUUGUUUAAAUAACAAAUGGUCUGGUACAAAUGCAUACGUGAGACAGAUAAAGGAGAAAUAAAAAUAGCAACUGAGAGGAGAAAAUUACAAGCCAUUUCUCUUCUGCAAAAUGGAGAGCUCUUAUUAAAGUUACAUCAAGAAAAGCUGAAACUAGCUCUUAUUAUUAUUAGGUACCAAUGUAGCUAAAAAGCUCAGGUUUGUUUACUCUGAAGAAACUAUAUAACCACAAGAACAACCAAAGCACCAUAUGGUACCUGGCUACUACCUCUGAGCUCCUGGACAGCUUCAUUAGAGGUACCCAUCCCUGCCAAGUGAAGGUCUGCUUUUGUCACUUCAUGCUCCCUUAGAGGGGUUUCCCAGUCUGCAGACUCACAGUGGUUUCACUGUUGUGCUGCUUUUGAAAUGAGCUCUGUUACCUGUAAACACAGUCCUUCCCCCUUUGUUUUCCCUGUAGAAUUCAAGUAGUCUAUGGAAAUGAAAUUCUGACAGUCAGAUUUUAGUGGGCAUAAAAUAUAUAUGGAAUGACUGAUGUGCCUUAAAAGUAAGUUCUUUGCAGUAAAAGUAUUCUGUGGUCAUUAUAAACAUUAAAGAAAUAAUGCUUCAAUUUUUUUUUUUUUUCAGUUCCGAAAGGUUUAAAGGGAUUGAUGCAGAUACUUAAUAUCUAUGAUCAGCAACAUAGCUAAAACCAGGGUAUUUCUAUGGUUUUAAUUUUUCUCAUUACAGUUACUCAUCUGAUUCAAUGCCUCAAGAGAGUCUUAUUUCUUCUGAGCUAAAUAAAAAGUAAUAUUCAUUAAUAAAGAUGUGCAGUUUACACCCCUUUUAAGUGCAUUUCCCUCUAAAUUAGUGAAUACAAAGGAUUUCUAUAAAAUUGUUUUUAAUGUAACUACUGCAUAUGCUUCAAGUAAAAUGGGGCUGAUUUACUUUUUUAAAUACAGUGGUCUCUUAUUACUUGUAAUAGCUGAAGACUGGAAUUUGUAACAUACUGUGUGGUGUUAACUUUCCAUAAAAAGUUUUCAGCUCUGCUACUCACACUGUGGUUGUGCUUCAACUGUAAGCUGGCUAAUAGUGUAUACAGGAGAAAAAUAGUCUCUGCAGCUUUGGCUUAAGAAAAAGGGAGAAGAUAUAUAAAAUGUGCUGAGUUGUUUCUUUGAUCAGAUAUGAUAAACCACUUGAAACAUUCACUCUCUACUGUUGUGGAAAAGUGAAAUAUUGCUACUAAGCCAUAUCGAUUUUAACAAGUACUUGAUCUUUAACACUUCAUUUGCUCAUUUCACCAUGAAGAAAAACUUCUGUCAGUCAUAAGCGAGAUGUUGAUGUUUCAUUUUCAAUUUUCCACAUGGUGCUAUUGUUGGUUGGGUAUUGAAAUAUCGAACAGUGUAACUUAGCUGGGAUGGGAACUCAGUGCUGCUGUCCUUCAGCCACCUCUGUGGGAGUUUUGCGUGAGAGAGAGAUGCAGAAUUAGCCUCUUCAGGGCUUGAGGCAGAUGGAAGGGGCCUUAUAAAUAGGAGAUGUGGCAGGAUCACAGCUUUAAAUCGUUGUUGGAAAUAAGAAUCAGGCCCUUGUUCUGUGCGAUCUCUGCUGACAAAAGUCAUGUUGCUGCAAGAGCACUGGUGAUUUCUGACAAGCAGAUCUGAGGUGAAAGUCUCUGUGCAGCUUUGCACACAUUGGCCUCUAUCAUCCUUUGUGAGUAAACCCAGAAAACUUGAGUGGAAUUUAUUUGUGAGUCAGAAGAUACUCACCGUGGGCAAGGACUUUAGGAGCUUCCUUAAACGUUGCCUCUUUUUUAGUAAACAUGCCGGAGGAAUUUAAGCAAAUGUUGUGCGUAAAUGUAGGAGAACAGAAGGAAUGCAAUCCUCUCUGCUCUGGACUACUGUUCAAGCCCCUAGAAGAUGUGGAUGAGGAGUUUUUUUGACUGUAUAUUUUUAGUAUAAGCUGUGUGAAGAGCAUUAUGUGAUUGCAUUUGUUUUUCAGAGAAUAAAACUGUUGGUCUGUGAGGGUUGGUACUGGCUAGAACAGCUUCUGAGAAUUGUAAGGAUUUUGUAGGAAGUGUUGGUAAUGAAAUCCAUUUCAGGAGAAGGUUCUGACCUUAAACUAUGACUGCUCUCAGGGAGAGAACUAUCUACAAGCUGUGCAAAAGGAUGACCAGAUGCUAUCAGUGAGUUUGUUUUUAUGGUUGCUCAUUAUGACCUUGUUGGUGAGCAGAAAGCAACUAGAUGAUUUAGAGAAAAAGCUCUAAUUUGAAAGUGGAACAGUGCAUGAGGAAAUGGCUACCCACAACACUGAGGACAUUCAUAUUUGCAUGCCUUCUGUCUACUGUGGACAGGUACAGUAGAGAAAGCUGCAUUUUUCAUUUCACAAUAGGUAAUGUUAAUUUGUGUUCCAGAUCUGUGGGUCACCUGGGCCAUACAAAAGAUGUCUCAGCAGAAAGCAGAGAGAGGAUUACUCACUUCACUGUUCAAAGCUUAAAUUUGUCAUUUGUCCUUGAAAUUAAGCCAAAAAUAAGGUUUGGCACUUGGACCCAAAGGCUAUGUAGCAUCAAUAAUGGUACACUGAAUAUAGUCUAGUUUUAGCAAAAAUCAUCAGUUCAUAUUAUACACCCUGCACAUCUCUGUUUCAGGGCAGAAGUAGGAGAGUCUGACACGUAAGUCAUGUGAGAAAGGAAUAAUCAGCAGUUUGAAGAGUCACAGGUAUAUUGAAAAAUAUACCUAGAUCCUAUUCUGAUAACAGAAAAGGACUGGGGAGGUAGAAAACAAGGAAAUAGUAGUAAUGCUGCAACUCAAGAAAGCAAAAAGUGGCAAAUUGCUCAGAGUCAUGUCUGGAUCUUUAUGCCAGCCCCACUCCAGCGGGGUUGGGAACUGUUAGUGGGUUUUGUAGGAAAGGCUGAGGUGUCUUCAACUCACAGUGACUAUCACACUUGAUCUGAACUAAGGAAAUACCUACAGUUGGUACACUGCCUUGGUUUCAAGUGGCAGACCUUAGAGUGCUACAGAAGACGUUUUAAGUAGUUUAUCUCUCCUCUGGCACAUGUUCUUCACUAUCCCAAACAUUUUUAAAUUCAAUUACACAACAGUUGAUAAGGUAGAGAAAGAUUGUCAAUAUCUUACAGAAAAGAAAGAGGCAUGGAAAAUAGUAGGUAAUAAAACCCUGUGUCUUAGUCCAGAUAUAACAUCUUACCAUAAUACCAGUCUUCCCCCCCCCCCCACCUUUUCUUUUGGAAAACAGAAAUUAAUGCAAAACUUUAGAAGCUUGUUUUAAAUAGCCUACACCAAUUAUACUGUUUACACUAGGAAAAAAAAGCUUUUCUGUCAGUAAGUAGCCUUCUGCUGUAAAGCAAUUUUCUUUACUACACUUGUCUGAAAAAUCUAAUGAAAAGUAGAACUGCACUUAAUUCAAUUUGUCUAUAUGUACCUCUCUUAACAAAAAUGCUUUAUUAACGGUCCUGAAUGUAAAGGACACAAAUGAAAUAUAGCUGCCUGCUGCAUCAAAAUCAAUUAGUUGUGUUUCAGCAUUUUUGUGAACAGCAGUCAUUCAUUUUGCAUGAUGCUGUUUCCUGAUAGCCCUCUGCUGACAGAGAAAGCUGUUCACCCUGUUGACAACAGGAAUAAAAUGAGGAUUCAUAUUUGCCUCCAUUAACUCUGUUAAGUGUCCUCUAAUACACUAAAAAGCAGUCUGCUAGAAGUAGGUCUUUUGGUGUGAUAUCUAGUAAGUGACAUGGAUCAGAGAAUUAAUAACCUGAUGGGUUCCAAGACGUACAGCACCCUUAACUGAGAGGCUCACCCUAGGCUGCAGGGACAUGCUUCACUUGCUUUUGUUCUCUAUGCCUUUGACCCAACAUUGCAAAUUACUUGCUCAGUAGUGGAAUAUUUUCAGCACACUAUCCCUUUCAACCUCAUCUGCUGGAGUAAGAAAUUAAUACUGAGGUCUCCCACUUCCUCACUGAGUGCUUUGGCCGAUAGACUAUUUAUAUAGGUGAUGCAGCUAAAAUGCCUUUCCUUUUGGCACAUAAAUGUUUUAUUUGAUCGAGCUUUUUAUCUUUCAGUAGACUAACACUCUUGUUCCACAAGGACAUUCUCUAUCUGGAAAGCAAACAUAUGUCAAAUACUUGGAGGAAUAUUAGAAAUCCUGAAAAACCCCAGCCAGUCCAGGUAAAUUUUGAAAGAAAACACCACAAAGCUGAACAAAGAAAAAAGCUUAAUCUUGUCUCUAGUGGGGUUGCCCUACCUGAGAGCCCCUGCUACUCUGAUGUGCCUCUGAUCAGAUUUGGUGCAGUGUGUGGAGCUUUUCUGUUGGACCCCUGGAGCUGUACUGAGAGGAGCAAUUUCAAGUGUCCAGCAAAGAUUAGAGAAGUUAAACACAUGCUUAUUGAAUCAUUUCACAUUAUAGCAGACACUCUCACUUUGGCUUCCUGUUCCCUUUUUGCACUCUUUAAAUUAGCCCUUGCUUUCAAUCUGACUGCCAUACACAGCCUGUGCCUGCAGUGUCUUUCCAUAAAAUGCCUCAGUGUCUGACCUGCAGAGGGUUGAUGACACCCUCCUCCUCAGCUCUGCUGGAAAGGUUCUCCAGAAGACUCUCCAUGAAGUGCUUCCAUGUGGUACUGUGCUAUAUAUGAGUACCUGGAAUAACAGGAGUUACUGCAAGUUCUUGACUGACUCCAAGCCACACUGUUUUAUCACCAAUAAAAGCUUGUGUGCA